GUACGGGAGGCAGCAGUCGAGAAUUUUUCACAAUGGGCGCAAGCCUGAUGGAGCGACGCCGCGUGGGGGAUGAAUGGCUUCGGCCCGUAAACCCCUGUCAUUCGCGAUCAAAGCGCAUUAUUUAAAAGAUGAUGUGUUGAUAGUAGCGGAAGAGGAAGGGACGGCUAACUCUGUGCCAGCAGCCGCGGUAAUACAGAGGUCCCGAGCGUUGUUCGGAUUCACUGGGCGUAAAGGGUGCGUAGGUGGUGAGGUAAGUCGGAUGUGAAAGCUCGGAGCUCAACUCCGAAAUGGCAUUGGAAACUACCUUGCUGGAGGGAUGGAGGGGGGACUGGAAUUCUCGGUGUAGCAGUGAAAUGCGUAGAUAUCGAGAGGAACACCAGUGGCGAAGGCGAGUCCCUGGACAUCUCCUGACACUGAGGCACGAAAGCUAGGGGAGCAAACAGGAUUAGAUACCCGCGUAGUCCC
This 465-nucleotide ribosomal RNA is filed under the name uncultured bacterium. RNAcentral's name for it is "bacterial SSU rRNA". It matches the Rfam family "Bacterial small subunit ribosomal RNA", at positions 339 to 797 of the family's 1533-position model. The record is from RNAcentral.